This is a long non-coding RNA of Malaclemys terrapin pileata, 2237 nucleotides long. RefSeq lists it as uncharacterized. NCBI's taxonomy places the organism in Eukaryota, Metazoa, Chordata, Testudines, Emydidae. The transcript is spliced from 2 exons. The record is from RefSeq and is a predicted model, not a curated record.
GGGGAGACCUAGCGUGUGUGGGUACUGCCAGGGGGCAGCACCCAGAGCAAGGGGCACUGGGGUCCUGGGAGGGACAUGGGAGCCUGAGGAAGAGGACAGGUGGAUCACUGGCCUGCAGAGGGCGCUCCAGAGGCUGGAAAGCUAAUUCCCUGGACGACCAGCAGGAGGCGCCGCAGGGGCUCUGCACAAGACCUUGGCAGAGAACCUGGAUAUAAUGCUGAGAAGCCUGCUGGCAGUGUCCCACAGUACUGAUAAGCUCCAGCACAUCUUAGAGGGGGACGGGCCUGGGCAUGAAGGGAAUUCUGCCUGAACCCAAUGGGGGCUACAAAGGAGAGACUGGAAGUUCCACGUUUCCAUGGUAUCCCUUAGCUGGGACCCCACGGAGCUACCUUGGCCAGGGCAGUCAGUGACAUGCAGCGUUAUCCUCCUCCUGCGGGGAACGGAGAGAUUAGGAGCUGGGCUGUCAAGGUUGGGUCUAUGUGAAGGGGAGUGCCUCCUUUUGGCUGGAUGUAGUAUAGCCAUUCACAGCGUAUCAGACAGAGUUGGGGCAUGAGAGCCUCAAAUCCCUGUGAGAUCCAGGGAAUGGUCCUGAGAGGAGAGUCAUUGGCUCCUCGCUGGGUCCUUGGGGAAUCAGCCCUUCUCUCCCAUGGACACUGAGACUCUGGAAGGAUUGUCCACACUGUUACUACCUCCAAGCACUUCAGAGCUGGGAGGGGGCCAGGGGUCUCUCUCUUUCCUGACAAGCUGUUCUUGAGUCAGGGGACCAGAGAGAGUGGCACCAGCCCCGAGAGUGAACAUUGUCCAAGUCUACAGACAAUGAUGAGCUGUGACCAGCAGGACACAGGCAGUGUCCUGGGUGCUGCAAACCCCUUGUAAAGCUCUAAGAUCAGUGAGUCCCCCCUGAACACAGUCUCAGCCCCGUGAGGACUCAUUUGUACAGAAUGUGCGCCUACCCUUUGACCAUGACCUGCCUCCUUCCUCCACAGCACAUUGGCUUCUGGGUAUGGUCCAGAGAUCCCCAGGAGAGUCAGGGCCAUGAGGACCAGCACCACCCUCCUGCGAUACACCAACCUACUCCCAGGAUUUGACAUAAGUGACCUUUGACCCCCAGGCUCUUGACCCCAGGUGUAGGCAGUGUUGGCUCCAACAGGCUAUGGGAUCUGCAGCUGCAGGGGCUGUGGGCUGGGCCGGACCCUGUGGGGAUGCAGUCAGAGCUGGGAAUCAGAUACACUUGAGACAAGCUCCUCUUCUUCUGGCUAAGUGGUGCCCCCUGGCUCUGUAGAGGACUGUGCUCCACCGAAGAGUACCCAGUAGUCACCUACUACAGGACAGGCCCGACAACAAAAGUAACAGAACUCCACUAGCCGUCACCUUCAGCCCCCAACUAAAACCUCUCCAGCACAUCAUCAACGAUCUACAACCUAUCCUGAAAGAUGAUCCCUCACUCUCACAGAUCUUCGGAGACAGACCAGUCCUCGCUUACAGACAGCCCCCCAAGCUGAAGCAAAUACUCACCAGCAACCAUACAACAAAAACACUAACCCAGGAACCUAUCCUUGCAACAAAGCCCGUUGCCAACUCUGUCCACAUAGCUAUUCAAGUGACACCAUCAUAGGAUCUAAUCACAUCAGCCACACAAUCAGGGGGUGGUUCACCUGCACAUCUACCAAUGUGAUAUAUGCCAUCAUGUGCCAGCAAUGCCCCUCUGCCAUGUACAUUGGCCAAACCGGACAGUCUCUACACACAAGAAUAAAUGGACACAAAUCUGACAUCAGGAAUCAUAACAUUCAAAAACCAGUGGGAGAACACUUCAACCUCUCUAAUCACUCAGUGACAGACUUGAAGGUGGCAAUUUUGCAACAAAAAAGCUUCAAAAACAGACUUCAAAGAGAGACAGCUGAACUUGAAUUAAUAUGCAAAUUAGAUACCAUUAACUUAGGUUUGGACGGAGACUGGGAAUGGUUGGGUCAUUACAUUAAUUGAAUCUAUUUCCCCAUGUUAAGUAUCCUCACACCUUCUAUGGGCCAUUUUGAUUAUCACUUCAAAAGUUUUUUUUCUCCUGCUGAUGAUAGCUCAUCUCAAUUGAUUGGUCUCUUACAGUUGGUAUGGCUACUUCCACCUUUUCAUGUUCUCUGUAUGUAUAAAUAUCUUUUUGCUGUAUGUUCCAUUCUAUGCAUCCGAUGAAGUGGGCUAUAGCCCACGAAAGCUUAUGCUCAAAUAAAUUUGUUAUUCUCUAA